Non-coding RNA from Pantherophis guttatus, 513 nucleotides. NCBI's taxonomy places the organism in Eukaryota, Metazoa, Chordata, Lepidosauria, Squamata, Colubridae. The record is from the annotation of a RefSeq genome assembly.
AUGAGCCAAGACAGCCGAGUGGGCAGCUCUUACAUGUCUUGGUACCAACAGAAGGCUGGAGAGAGACCCAAAUUCCUUCUCUAUGACAACAACAACAACAGCAGAUUCUCGGGGACCAUAGACAGCUCUGCCAAUGCAGCCUAUUUAACCGUUGGAAACCUCCAGGCUGAUGAUGAGGCUGAUUACUAUUGUGGUGGAGCCAACUCACAGAUAAUCUUGACUCAGCCUGUGGCACAAUCGUUUCCCCUGGGACAACCAGCAAAGAUCUCAUGUACCAUGAGCCAAGAUGCCCAAGUAGGCAGUCGUAACAUACAUUGGUACCAACAGAAGGCUGCAGAGAGCCCCAAACACCUUCUCUAUAAUGCCGGCAGCAACGGUCGGUUCACGGGGUAUAAGGACGCCUCUACCAAUGCAGCCUAUUUAACCAUUACAAACCUCCAGGAUGAGGAUGAGGCUGGUUAUUAUUGUGCUAGUUAUUAUGGCAGUACCAACAACUGGAAGUAUCCACAGUGA